This is a long non-coding RNA of Coccinella septempunctata (seven-spotted ladybird), 796 nucleotides long. RefSeq lists it as uncharacterized. The record is from RefSeq and is a predicted model, not a curated record. The transcript has 4 exons. Lineage: Eukaryota; Metazoa; Arthropoda; Insecta; Coleoptera; Coccinellidae.
GAUCGAAACUCAUAAAGCAAACCUUUUCAUUUCUGAUUUGGUAAAAGGAAUACUUUUCAUUCAAAAAUGAGUAAAUAUAUUUUUCCUGAAAUUGCACUAGAAAAGAUAAACAUCAGAGAUUCAGCCCAAUUUGGCAACUCCGUACUAUCGGAAUGUUUACCUUUGGAAUCUGUAUGAAUUUGUAAUUAUUUUCGAAAUUAGCGUUACAGGCAGUGUUUCACAGUCUAAAACUUCUGAAAUUUAUUCGAAGAAAGUUUUCAUAAUGUGUCGACUCAUACCACUGGUUUCAAUUAUAUGGUUUCAAUGGAUAAAUAUUUUUUUUGUUAUAGCCUUCCCAAUCGAGAUUCGAAAUGAUGGGUUUUCUCUUUGAGGUUUGGAAAUUGAUCGGAAAAAUCCUAGAUUCAUUUAUAUAUGCCCGAAUCAUUUCAACUGGAUAUAAUUUGUGAUAAGAUUAGUAAACGUUAGCCCAUUGCCCUUCCAACUCCAUACAUUUGAGAGCAAAGAGACUAAGACUUCAAGCACUUCUCUGAUUAAAAGUAUGAGUACUUUAUCAGAGGACACUUUUCCGAAGAGGAAACCUAGGGCAAAAUUAGUUACCAAUUAUUUUGUUGUUAUGAUGCCUACAUACAAUAUACAUGAGUAAAACCUCCAGACCCUCCCCAACCUUUUGAAAAGAAGCAUCAGAAGAAAUUGUUCAAUCAGAGAAAAUAUUUACAGAGAAAACAUUGAACCUAAAGUUUCUGCAAUCAAACGAAAAAAACCUAUGUUUGGGACAUGCCUGAAGAAGAAUUCAGUU